CGAGACGCUGGCGGCGUGCCUCAAACAUGCAAGUCGAGCGGACGGAGACCGAACCGCAAGGGGAGGUUGAAGUUAGCGGCGAACGGGUGAGUAACACGUGGGUAACCUACCCUAAAGUCUGGGACAACGGCCCGAAAGGGCCGCUAAUACCGGAUAAUGUCUUCGGGUCGCAUGGCCUGGGGAAGAAAGCCGAAAGGCGCUUAUGGAUGGGCUCGCGUCCCAUCAGCUAGUUGGUAAGGUAACGGCUUACCAAGGCGACGACGGGUAGCCGGUCUGAGAGGAUGGUCGGCCACACUGGGACUGAGAUACGGCCCAGACUCCUACGGGAGGCAGCAGUUGGGAAUAUUGGGCAAUGGGCGAAAGCCUGACCCAGCGACGCCGCGUGAAGGAUGAAGGUCUUCGGAUUGUAAACUUCUAUCAGCAGGGAAGAAAGGGCCUAUGGCCUAUGACGGUACCUGACUAAGAAGCCCCGGCUAACUACGUG
RNAcentral lists this ribosomal RNA (484 nucleotides) under uncultured bacterium. RNAcentral's name for it is "bacterial SSU rRNA". It matches the Rfam family "Bacterial small subunit ribosomal RNA", at positions 33 to 507 of the family's 1533-position model. The record is from RNAcentral.